Telopea speciosissima is the source of this 91-nucleotide long non-coding RNA. RefSeq lists it as uncharacterized. Lineage: Eukaryota; Viridiplantae; Streptophyta; Magnoliopsida; Proteales; Proteaceae. The record is from RefSeq and is a predicted model, not a curated record. The transcript has 3 exons.
AUCUCUAACAAAUCCCAAUUUGAAUCCAGCUAAGCCUCACCCAGAAUCCACCAGGUAUGCUACUGAAUCCACAGCAGCUUGUUUCAGAAAA